Molecule: long non-coding RNA, 414 nt
Filed under: Nicotiana benthamiana
Lineage: Eukaryota; Viridiplantae; Streptophyta; Magnoliopsida; Solanales; Solanaceae
Description: long non-coding RNA (NBEN_LNC037791)
Source: RNAcentral
AAAAAUACAAAGAAUAUUUUACUGUUUCGUAGUUUAUUUCUUGAUUAUUCUCAGUCUUCUGCGAAUUUGGGCUAGCUGGUAGCUCAAUAUGGUUUGUAGCUGGUUUCUUCAUCAUCCAGCUGGUUAUUUGGGUUGAUUUGGUUUCUAUCAUUCCUGAGUUGCUUGUUAGUAGUUAUUAUCUGGUUGGAAUUCAUAUUUAGGUUGUUCCUCCUAAUUUCUGGGUUUUUCAAGUAUUAUUGUGUUGUUGCUCGUCUUUUGCUUCUACUGACUUCCUCCCCUACUCAUUUCUGUUCAUUUCCAGGUACGUGCUAUGAAACUCAUACUAUGUAAAUCUCCUGCUGGAAAUGAAAUCAGAUUGAGGCUGAAUUUCUACUGUGUUCUUUUUUAUUUGCAAUUUUAGUGGCUUGAUCGUGU